CACGAAGGGGGCUAGCGUUGCUCGGAAUUACUGGGCGUAAAGGGCGCGUAGGCGGACAGUUUAGUCAGAGGUGAAAGCCCAGGGCUCAACCUUGGAAUUGCCUUUGAUACUGGCUGUCUUGAGUUCGGGAGAGGUGAGUGGAAUGCCGAGUGUAGAGGUGAAAUUCGUAGAUAUUCGGCGGAACACCAGUGGCGAAGGCGACUCACUGGCCCGAUACUGACGCUGAGGCGCGAAAGCGUGGGGAGCAAACAGG
RNAcentral lists this ribosomal RNA (253 nucleotides) under uncultured bacterium. Its description in RNAcentral is "partial 16S ribosomal RNA". It matches the Rfam family "Bacterial small subunit ribosomal RNA", at positions 524 to 776 of the family's 1533-position model. The record is from RNAcentral.